CUGCGUUUUGAAAACUCUCUACUUUCUCUUCCUUCCAAGACCCUCCUCUCUUCCUCAUUCCCAUCGUCUUCCGCAGAAAGGCAGAAGCAGCCUUCCAUCCCAGUCGAAAAUCAUUCCCAGUUGAAGAAAGAACCCACAAACCCACGUUUCAGCUUCGUACCGAAGAACCACUGACGCACAAACCCACGAACAAGCCUCGAACCCAAGAGCCAGAAACCCAAUUUCAACCCACAAAUCGACAAACUAGAGCCACGAAAUCCAGUUCUGAAAUCCCGCUUUCCCACAGAGCACCGAUUAAAAUAACCCUAACCCUAACCUCAAAAAAUCGGGUUAGUUUUCUCCUUUUUAUGUCUUUUCGUUUUGGUUUCCAACAUUUCCCACUCUCAGAUCUGGAAUCAACCCGAGCACGCCUGCAUUUCGUCUGAAAGCAAGAAAUUUCUUUUUUUUCUUUGAAAUCUGGAGGAGCGUGAACUUGGAGGUCAAUUUUUGGUGGGUAUUGGGUUAAUUGCACAAAUAAAUGUUGGGUUGGUCACAUAUCUGAACACUUUUGAGCUUCUGGGUGGGCGUGUGUCGAAGGGAAUUUGAUAAUGGAGCAUGUGAUUGCUGGGAAGUUUAAGCUGGGGGGAAAGAUUGGGAGUGGGUCCUUUGGGGAGCUCUAUCUAGCCAUUAAUGUACAAACUGGAGAGGAGGUGGCUGUUAAGCUGGAAUAUGUGAAGACCAAGCAUCAAUAACCUGUUACGGAAGGAGAAAGAUCUCAAGAAGAUGGUCGAGUUUCUUGAAAAGAGUGAGAUUGACCUUCGUAAGAUAGUGGAUCAGCUCGAGAAGAAGUUGGGGCAUC
Carya illinoinensis is the source of this 838-nucleotide long non-coding RNA. RefSeq lists it as uncharacterized. The transcript has 4 exons. NCBI's taxonomy places the organism in Eukaryota, Viridiplantae, Streptophyta, Magnoliopsida, Fagales, Juglandaceae. The record is from RefSeq and is a predicted model, not a curated record.